GUGAAUCAUCAAAUUUUUGAACGCAUAUUGCACUGUCUGGUAUUCCGGAGAGUAUGCCUAUUUGAGUAUCAUUUGGAUUACUAUAAAUUCCUAGAUUUCUCGGACUUUAAAAUGGGUUGUCCAUUUUUUGUGAUCGCCUAAAAUCCAAGACAAGCUCAUUGUCUUGGGUUGCGUGAUACUUUCAGUUACCUCGUGACUUAACCAGGAAUCAUCGGGCUUGUUAUGUAUUUCGCAAGA
This 237-nucleotide unclassified non-coding RNA is filed under the name Ambisporaceae sp. RNAcentral describes it as "partial contains 5.8S ribosomal RNA and internal transcribed spacer 2". The stretch from base 1 to 71 matches the Rfam family "5.8S ribosomal RNA", at positions 84 to 154 of the family's 154-position model. The record is from RNAcentral. Lineage: Eukaryota; Fungi; Glomeromycota; Glomeromycetes; Archaeosporales; Ambisporaceae.